Molecule: microRNA precursor, 71 nt
Filed under: Paramuricea clavata
Lineage: Eukaryota; Metazoa; Cnidaria; Anthozoa; Malacalcyonacea; Plexauridae
Source: RNAcentral
UUUGUAUUACGUGCGGAAAUUGUUACCAUUUUUCAGCCGAAAAUGGUAACAAUUUCCGCACGUAAUACAAA